Molecule: microRNA precursor, 95 nt
Filed under: Canis lupus familiaris (dog)
Lineage: Eukaryota; Metazoa; Chordata; Mammalia; Carnivora; Canidae
Description: mir-8799 microRNA precursor family
Rfam family: mir-8799 microRNA precursor family
Source: Rfam by way of RNAcentral
GGGGGGAGUGUAGGAUCCUGGGCUGUAUCCCCUGGCACCCUGCGAUCCGGGGCCUGUGCUGCUGGAAUCUCACUCCUGGGGCUGUGCAGCCCCCU